CGCCGGGCGCCCCCGAAGGUCUCCAAACACUGCAUCUUUGCGUCGGAGUUUAAAACAAAUUAAACAAAACUUUCAACAACGGAUCUCUUGGUUCUGGCAUCGAUGAAGAACGCAGCGAAAUGCGAUAAGUAAUGUGAAUUGCAGAAUUCAGUGAAUCAUCGAAUCUUUGAACGCACAUUGCGCCCUUUGGUAUUCCGAAGGGCAUGCCUGUUCGAGCGUCAUUUCACCACUCAAGCCUGGCUUGGUAUUGGGCGUCGCGGCUCCGCGCGCCUUAAAGUCUCCGGCUGAGCCAUUCGUCUCUAAGCGUUGUGGAUUUUCUAAUUCGCUUCGGAGUGCGGGUGGCCGCGGCCGUUAAAUCUUUAUUCAAAGGUUGACCUCGGAUCAGGUAGGGAUACCCGCUGAACUUAAGCAUA
This 413-nucleotide ribosomal RNA is filed under the name Pseudocercospora macadamiae. RNAcentral describes it as "eukaryotic LSU rRNA". The stretch from base 68 to 221 matches the Rfam family "5.8S ribosomal RNA". Lineage: Eukaryota; Fungi; Ascomycota; Dothideomycetes; Mycosphaerellales; Mycosphaerellaceae. The record is from RNAcentral.